RNAcentral lists this ribosomal RNA (253 nucleotides) under uncultured bacterium. RNAcentral describes it as "partial 16S ribosomal RNA". It matches the Rfam family "Bacterial small subunit ribosomal RNA", at positions 524 to 776 of the family's 1533-position model. The record is from RNAcentral.
UACGGAGGGUGCAAGCGUUGUUCGGAAUCACUGGGCGUAAAGCGCGUGUAGGCGGCUUGGCAAGUCGAGUGUGAAAUCCCAGGGCUCAACCUUGGAACUGCACCCGAAACUGCCUCGCUGGAGUCCCGGAGAGGGUGGCGGAAUUUCCGGUGUAGAGGUGAAAUUCGUAGAUACCGGAAGGAACACCAGUGGCGAAGGCGGCCACCUGGACGGUGACUGACGCUGAGACGCGAAAGCGUGGGGAGCAAACAGG